This 161-nucleotide ribosomal RNA is filed under the name uncultured bacterium. Its description in RNAcentral is "partial 16S ribosomal RNA". It matches the Rfam family "Bacterial small subunit ribosomal RNA", at positions 355 to 507 of the family's 1533-position model. The record is from RNAcentral.
UGAGGAAUNUUGCGCAAUGGGGGCAACCCUGACGCAGCGACGCCGCGUGAGUGAGGAAGGCCUUCGGGUCGUAAAGCUCUGUCAAAGGGAAAGAAGUGCAUGGUKGCUAAUACCUGCCAUGUUGGACGGUACCCUUAAAGGAAGCACCGGCUAACUCCKKG